CACACAACCACACCCAGAGAGAAAGGCCCUGCUGUUAACCAGAUUGUCAUCUUUGGCAACCAAUGGAUGCUAGAGGUCUCAAUGCCUUCCUCCACCUCAGAGUGUUUGAUCAGAGUCUUCUUUUUUAGAAAAAAAAAUUUUUUUAAUAGAGACGAGGUCUCGCUAUGUUGAGCAGGCUGGUGGAAGUCCUGGCCUCAAGUGAUCCACCCCCUUUGGCCUUCCAAAGUGCUGGAAUAAUAGGCAUGAGCCACUGCGCCCAGCUAUAGUAUUCUUUCAACCACAGACAGUAGAGUUCCUACGAGGAAUUCCAGGAAGCUGAUGUUUUUCAUCCCUUCCACCUUUAUCAGAAUGGAUUUUAAGUCCCUUACAGUCUGGAGCGCUGGCUAACAGCUGUUGACCUGCUUCUUACUCCAGCUCUGGUUCCAACAGUAACACUGGCUCCUCAAACUUCCAACCCAAGGAACGGUUUCUGCCAAGAAAAUGUGCCUUAGGAGAUGAGACUACCAGUGGAGCAGAAUUCCGGCAGUUCUCCAGGGGCUGCCUGUCACGAGGGCACUCAAGCUGCCUGCAGAGAGGCCCAUACGGGGAGCAUCUAAGGUCCCGCCAACAGCUGGCACCAACUUGCCAACCAUCCGGGAAGAAGACCCUCCAGCCCCAGUCAAGCUUGCAAAUGGCUGUGGCUCUGGCUGAUGUCUCAACUGCAACCUCUUGAAAGACUCCAAGCCAGAAUGUUCCUGAAUUUCUGACCCCCCAAGACUGUGAGAUAUAUUAAAUGUGUAUUGUUAUUUUAAAUUUCUACGUUUUGAUUUGUUACAUAGCAAUAGAUAACUAGCAUGUAUCCUGUUGCCUUCCAAAACG
Molecule: long non-coding RNA, 858 nt
Filed under: Homo sapiens (human)
Lineage: Eukaryota; Metazoa; Chordata; Mammalia; Primates; Hominidae
Description: LNC_000566
Source: RNAcentral